Aedes albopictus (Asian tiger mosquito) is the source of this 58-nucleotide non-coding RNA. Lineage: Eukaryota; Metazoa; Arthropoda; Insecta; Diptera; Culicidae. The record is from Rfam.
UAGCCUAGUGGUUUAGGCUAUGGAUCGCCAAUCCGGAGACGACGGGUUCGAUUCCCGU